Molecule: RNA transcript, 2025 nt
Organism: Prunus persica (peach)
Lineage: Eukaryota; Viridiplantae; Streptophyta; Magnoliopsida; Rosales; Rosaceae
Gene name: trihelix transcription factor ASIL2
Exons: 5
Source: RefSeq, a predicted model, not a curated record
AAAUUUUUACUAAAAUAGAGAUAAAUAACAAACUUGAAUGAAUAAUUUCAAGCAUAUAAGAUCUGACCGAUUUGAAUUUGAGUUGUAAUGAAUUAAAGAGGAGUUUAGAGAGCAAAAAAUAAUAAAAAUAAAAGAUUUGGCUUAAUUUGAUUUGAUAAUUAACAAACAAUACGAGAUAUUCCUCGAACUUAUCCAAAUGGAUUGUUGUACAUAAAAAGGAAAAAAAAAAAAACAAAAGGUUUAUAGCAAAAGAUUUGUUAGUGAGUGUUAUUGUCGAGUACGGUAAAAAUAAUAAUCCGAUAAGGCGGGCGGAGAGUAAUGCGAUGGGAAACGGACCGAGCCGAGCCGGUAAAAUCGAAGCCACUAAAGCCUUAAUGACAUCGACAAGACCUCACGCGCUCAUCCCGGCGACCUUCCUCCUACACUCGCGGCUCAUGCGGCCGGCGCUCUCCCCCCACCGACGCGACCCCUUUACUCCCUAACUACACCCACUCUCUCUCUAUUCCCACCCACGCGGACAAACCCCCACCCCCCAAUUUCCAACCCCCAACCAAACACUUUCCGUUCCCGACGAUGGGUGACCUAACGGACCCCCAAAUGACGCCGUCCCAUGCCACCGCCACCACCCCCUCCUCCAACCCUCGCCCCAUGCCCGUCCGCGAAGACUGCUGGAGCGAAGACGCUACCUCCACUCUCGUCGACGCCUGGGGCCGCCGUUACCUCGAGCUCAACCGCGGGUGCCUCCGUCAGAAGGACUGGCAGGAGGUCGCUGACGCCGUCAACGCCCUUCACGGCCACACCAAGAAGACCCACCGCACCGACGUCCAGUGCAAGAACCGCAUCGACACCAUCAAGAAGAAGUACAAGUUCGAGAUGAAUAGGGUUUCGUCCUCCAACGGAACCCUAACCUCUUCUUGGCCUUUCUUCGAGAGGCUCGACGCUCUCAUCGGAUCUAACUACAAGAAGCCGUCUCCUUCGCCCCCGGUCGCUGUUCCGUUGCCUUUGGGGUAUCGGAAGACUCCGUCUCCGGCGACCGUUGUGACGGCCGUGGGGCUGCCGCAGAAGCGGUCUGCGUCGUCUGCGGCGGUCGACGAGGGUUUCUUCAGGAUGAAUUACUCGGCUGUGGCUGCGGCGGCAGCGGCAGAGGCUGAGGAUGAUGACGACGAGGACGAGGAUGAGGACGACGAGGUGAACUACGAGGUUGAUGAGGAGGUUGAGAUGGAGAGGGAGAGAGAUAGCGGAGGCGAGAUUGGAGGUGGAGGAGGAGGAGAAGGGUUGAAGAGAUUGGCGAGAGCGAUUGAGAGGUUCGGGGAGGUGUAUCAGAGAGUGGAGGCCGAAAAGUUGAGGCAGAUGGUGGACUUGGAGAAGCAGAGGAUGCAAUUCGCCAAUGAUUUGGAGGUGCAGAGGAUGAAUAUGUUCAUGGACACGCAGGUCCAGCUCGAGCGGAUCAAGCACGGCAAGCGAUCUGGCUCUAAUGCUUUUGUGCAUGGAUGUGAACGUUUGUAAAGUUGAGCUCUGAGAGUUUUAUAUAGAGUUCUAUCAAUUCGUAGAACAGAAGAACAGAAACAUAUCCUGGUUGGUAACAUUAACAGUGGAGUGAUAUGUUUUCCACGAGGGUAGCUGGGCUUAUUGAUAGCAAAAGAUGAAGAUUCCCAUUAAAGUUCUGAAUAUUUAUAUGCGGGGAGAGCUUUAAUGGUAGACUUCCAUGGGAAGCAUAAUGUAGUAUCUUCUUGAUUAUCCUACAAAGUACAUAUUGUUGCAGCUGAUACUGGACCUAGAGAAACUACUGGCACAACAGUCCCAAGUUUUCUUUUUCCUUUCUUUUCUUUUUUCAUCUUGGUUUUUUCUUUCUAAAUUAUUAUUAUUUUGGGAACAAGUUUAAUCGGCUUGGCAGUUGUACUCGGCUUAGAUUGGUCCAAUGAAUUUGGUUUUGGCUGUAUUAGCUUUUUAGUUUGAACGCCACAAAUCUAAUUUUUUCUUGCAAUACAUAAAAGUAGGUAACUUCUCUCUUUGUACUUUGGUAGA